AUGACAAAUAUGGUUCGAUGGCUCUUCUCUACUAACCACAAGGAUAUUGGGACUCUCUAUUUCAUCUUCGGUGCCAUUGCAGGAGUGAUGGGCACAUGCUUCUCCGUACUGAUUCAUAUGGAAUUAGCCCGACCCGGCGAUCAAAUUCUUGGUGGGAAUCAUCAACUUUAUAAGGUUUUAUUAACGGCUCAUGCUUUUUUAAUGAUCUUUUUUAUGGUUAUGCCGGCGAUGAUAGGUGGAUUUGGUAAUUGGUUUGUUCCGAUUCUGAUAGGUGCACCUGACAUGGCAUUUCCACGAUUAAAUAAUAUAUCAUUCUGGUUGUUGCCACCAAGUCUCUUGCUCCUAUUAAGCUCAGCCUUAGUAGAAGUGGGCAGCGGCACUGGGUGGACAGUCUAUCCGCCCUUAAGUGGUAUUACCAGCCAUUCUGGAGGAGCAGUUGAUUCAGCAAUUUUUAGUCUUCAUCUAUCAGGUAUUUCAUCAAUUUUAGGUUCUAUCAAUUUUAUAACAACUAUCUUCAACAUGCGUGGACCUGGAAUGACUAUGCAUAGAUUACCACUUUUUGUGUGGUCCGUUCUAGUGACAGCAUUCCUACUUUUAUUAUCACUUCCGGUACUGGCGGGGGCAAUUACAAUGUUAUUAACCGAUCGAAACUUUAAUACAACCUUUUUUGAUCCUGCAGGAGGGGGAGACCCAAUAUUAUACCAGCAUCUCUUUUGGUUCUUCGGUCAUCCAGAGGUGUAUAUUCUCAUUCUGCCUGGAUUUGGUAUUAUUAGUCAUAUCGUAUCGACCUUUUCAAGAAAACCGGUCUUCGGGUAUCUAGGCAUGGUUUAUGCCAUGAUAAGUAUAGGUGUUCUUGGAUUUCUAGUUUGGGCUCAUCAUAUGUUUACUGUGGGCUUAGACGUUGAUACGCGUGCCUACUUCACCGCAGCUACCAUGAUCAUAGUUGUGCCCACAGGAAUCAAAAUCUUUAGUUGGAUCGCUACCAUGUGGGGAGGUUCGAUACAAUACAAAACACCCAUGUUAUUUGCUGUAGGGUUCAUCUUUUUGUUCACCAUAGGAGGGCUCACUGGAAUAGUUCUAGCAAACUCUGGGCUAGACAUUGCUCGACAUGAUACUUAUUAUGUGGUUGCACAUUUCCAUUAUGUACUUUCUAUGGGAGCCGUUUUUGCUUUAUUUGCUGGAUUUUACUAUUGGGUGGGUAAAAUCUUUGGUCGGACAUAUCCUGAAACUUUAGGCCAAAUCCAUUUUUGGAUCACUUUUUUCGGGGUUAAUCUGACCUUCUUUCCCAUGCAUUUCUUAGGGCUUUCGGGUAUGCCACGUCGCAUUCCAGAUUAUCCAGAUGCUUACGCCGGAUGGAAUGCUCUGAGCAGUUUCGGUUCUUAUAUAUCCGUAGUUGGGAUUCGUCGUUUCUUCGUAGUUGUCGCAAUCACUUCAAGCAGUGGAAAGAACCAAAAAUGUGCGGAAAGUCCUUGGGCUGUUGAACAGAAUCCAACCACACUAGAAUGGUUGGUACAAAGCCCUCCGGCCUUUCAUACUUUUGGAGAACUUCCUGCGGUAAAAGAGACAAAAAGCUAA
This 1575-nucleotide ribosomal RNA is filed under the name Triticum aestivum (bread wheat). RNAcentral's name for it is "partial small subunit ribosomal RNA". The record is from RNAcentral. Lineage: Eukaryota; Viridiplantae; Streptophyta; Magnoliopsida; Poales; Poaceae.